AGGCGCGUAGCUCAGUGGGAGAGCGCUUGCUUGACGCGCAAGAGGUCGGCGGUUCGAUCCCGCCCGCGCCUACCA
This 75-nucleotide transfer RNA is filed under the name Thermodesulfobacterium commune. RNAcentral's name for it is "tRNA-Val". It matches the Rfam family "tRNA". Rfam says of the family: Transfer RNA (tRNA) molecules are approximately 80 nucleotides in length. Lineage: Bacteria; Pseudomonadati; Thermodesulfobacteriota; Thermodesulfobacteria; Thermodesulfobacteriales; Thermodesulfobacteriaceae. RNAcentral also lists the same sequence under 14 other names. The record is from RNAcentral.